UCCCCGGUAGCUCAGUUGGUAGAGCAGGCGGCUGUUAACCGCCUUGUCGUUGGUUCGAGUCCGACCCGGGGAGCCA
This 76-nucleotide transfer RNA is filed under the name Pirellulales bacterium. Its description in RNAcentral is "tRNA-Asn". It matches the Rfam family "tRNA". Rfam says of the family: Transfer RNA (tRNA) molecules are approximately 80 nucleotides in length. Lineage: Bacteria; Pseudomonadati; Planctomycetota; Planctomycetia; Pirellulales. The record is from RNAcentral.